This is a long non-coding RNA of Sinocyclocheilus grahami, 1384 nucleotides long. RefSeq lists it as uncharacterized. The transcript has 5 exons. The record is from RefSeq and is a predicted model, not a curated record. Lineage: Eukaryota; Metazoa; Chordata; Actinopteri; Cypriniformes; Cyprinidae.
AUUUCCUUCUUCAGAUGUAUUCAAAUGUGACCCAAAAAUGUGAGAAUGUGUGUGCAACCUCUGAAUACAAGCAUGUGAGGAUAUGGGAUACGAGAGGAACGCUUAUGUGGGUUAUUAGGAGAUUUACUCUAGAGCAUCGACUGACCACAUGCUGGUGAAGACAGAUUCUCUCAGCUCUUCCAAUCUGACAGGUUUUCACAGUAAAACUUCAGACUGUCCAUCUAACAAAGCAGUGGCACUCAAAUGUACAGAUUGUGGACGGGACAGCAGGACCCGAAUCGUGGGAGGAACCACGGUGACCUCUAAGGCAUUUGUGUGGCGGGUCUGUCAUUACACCUUACUGGAUCAUCACAGCGGCUCACUGUGUGCAUGAGGAAGUACUCUCGUUUAGUACAGUCUCGUUUGACAAUUUAUGAUGAACUCUAAUAAAUGACAAACUGGUGUAGGAACUCCGAUGCAAGGGAUUGGACUGUGUAUGCUGGAUAUCUGACUCGUACCGAGAUGCUGUUGGCCACCGGCAAUUCUGUAAGCCGAAUUGUCACGCACAACUUUGAACCGAGGACCAAUGAGAAUGACAUUGCCCUGAUGAAGCUAAACGUCCACUCACGAUUACAUGUAAGAGUGAAUUUUACAAUUUUCCCCCAGCCAAUAAGAAAAUUUCACGAUCAUUUAAUAAUACUGACACGUUAAGUGACAAUAAAUUAAAACAAAGUGUUUUUGUUUCACACUUGAUCUGUGCUGGCAAACUGGAGGGCGGCGUGGACUCCUGUCAGGUCAGAAACACACUCUGUAUAAACACAGUUAGAAGCUGCUUGAUCAUUCAAAAGAGUAAAUUAGAGUAGAGUAAAUGUAAUUUAUGUGCCAAAGGCCAAAUUAAAUAAGUGCUCUUCCACACAGGGGGACAGUGGGGGUCCUCUGGUCACAAAAGAGAAUUCUCUAUGGUGGCUGGUUGGGGACACUAGCUGAGGUGAUGGAUGUGCUUUCAGAAACAAGCCUGGAGUCUACGGAAAUGUGACCUACUUCCUUGACUGGAUAUGUGAACAAAUACAGAGAUAUUAACUUUUUUUAAUAUAAAGAUUUUUGAGAAGAGCAACUGAUCCAAAUCGCUGACUCUCAGGAACUGUGACAGUGUCCAAGAGACUUUUAAUGUAAGAUUUUUUUUUUAUAGUCUUGUUUUUGUUUAUUUUAUUUUUUGCUUUCAUAUAAAUGUUUUCACAUAAAUCUAAAAUAACCAGUUAUUUAUUUUCACCAGUGUCAAUAAUGAAGUGAAUUGCACAUUAUGCUACAAUAUGCACUUUUCUCUCUUUUUUUGUUGUAUGUUUUGUAUAAAGAGCACAAUUGUAAAUUUGUAUAUAAUAUUUGAACAUAUAAAUUUGUAAAAAUG